This is a long non-coding RNA of Salvia miltiorrhiza (redroot sage), 499 nucleotides long. RefSeq lists it as uncharacterized. The transcript has 2 exons. The record is from RefSeq and is a predicted model, not a curated record. NCBI's taxonomy places the organism in Eukaryota, Viridiplantae, Streptophyta, Magnoliopsida, Lamiales, Lamiaceae.
GUUAAAAGGCGGUGAGAUGUUCAAGAGAGGCGUGGAGAUGCCGGAGGAACAAAGGCCAUCUAGAAGAUUUUUGGAUACUUCGACAACUUUUUUCCUGCUCAAAUCUAUGGAGUGCCGUAGCUCGUGGAUAGCUUCUCCUUUCAUUUAUGAGGAGAGGGAGAACUUAUUUUUGAAGGAAAUAAGUGACAUUUAGUGAAAUAUGUGUUUUUGGUGCCAAGGCAAUGAUGGGUUUCUUUGUCUUUUAAUUCCAACGUGGUGUAGCUUAUCCACUCUUAGUGAAACCUUCUAUCUCAAUGUCACUUGAGAGAAAAGAAGAUGCAAAAGUCUGAACUAGAAUCCUACCCAUUUGGUGACCAGAAAUUAAAUUAGAAUUUGGAAUGAGAUUGUAAUAUUGUCCUAUUUACUUUAAACUUUAGGUACUUGUAAUUGAUUUGCAAGUCUGUUCAUGUUUGGACUCAUGUCCGUUUUUUAAUACUGAAAAUCCCUUUGAGGUGCUCAA